Molecule: transfer RNA, 72 nt
Filed under: Coscinodiscus wailesii
Lineage: Eukaryota; Bacillariophyta; Coscinodiscophyceae; Coscinodiscales; Coscinodiscaceae
Description: tRNA-Met
Rfam family: tRNA
About the family: Transfer RNA (tRNA) molecules are approximately 80 nucleotides in length. Their secondary structure includes four short double-helical elements and three loops (D, anti-codon, and T loops). Further hydrogen bonds mediate the characteristic L-shaped molecular structure. tRNAs have two regions of fundamental functional importance: the anti-codon, which is responsible for specific mRNA codon recognition, and the 3' end, to which the tRNAs corresponding amino acid is attached (by aminoacyl-tRNA synthetases). tRNAs cope with the degeneracy of the genetic code in two manners: having more than one tRNA (with a specific anti-codon) for a particular amino acid; and 'wobble' base-pairing, i.e. permitting non-standard base-pairing at the 3rd anti-codon position.
Source: RNAcentral
AGUAAAAUAGAACAAAGGUAGUUCAUUAGGUUCAUAUUCUAAAGGUUAAAGGUUCAAAUCCUUUUUUUACUA